GGGUGUUUAGCUCAGUUGGGAGAGCGACGGCCUUACAAGCCGUAGGUCGCAGGUUCGAACCCUGCAACACCCACCA
This 76-nucleotide transfer RNA is filed under the name Gammaproteobacteria bacterium. RNAcentral's name for it is "tRNA-Val". It matches the Rfam family "tRNA". From Rfam's summary of the family: Transfer RNA (tRNA) molecules are approximately 80 nucleotides in length. Their secondary structure includes four short double-helical elements and three loops (D, anti-codon, and T loops). The record is from RNAcentral. Lineage: Bacteria; Pseudomonadati; Pseudomonadota; Gammaproteobacteria. RNAcentral also lists the same sequence under 1 other name.